UAUUCUUUAACUCUGCCUAGCCUCUUUUUGGUCAGCCUUUACAAGGCAUCAACUUCUUUGAGUAAUCUGUGCCAAGACCUCACAGAAAGGAAUUUUUCCCAAUGUAUCCUGUCCCCCGGGGCCCUUAUCCCACGUCCCUUCCCAGCUUUCUCAGAGCCCUUUCACGCACCAAAAUCCCGCACUUGGCUCACCCUGGAGCCUUUCCCUGCGCAGAUAAAACCCUCAGGAGGCGAUAAGGCCCCGCUCACGCCGUCAGGGACUCGCCCGUCCCUCAGCGAGCACCGCCCAACCGGCGCCUCAACGGCACCGCCCCAAGGCGGGGCCCAGCCCGCCCCGCCCGCGGCUCUUCCGCCCGGCCCACCCCAACACGGGGAGCUCCGCGAGCCGCGGGAAAAAAAAGGGGUAAAACCGCCGCGGAAUAAACGAGGGAGAACUGAGUUGCGCCGAGGCAAAGCAGCGGCCGCGGCCCGGCCGGGCCUGGCGGGAAAGCGCUCACCCGCCGCCAUCUUAACGGCGCCAAGGCCACGCCCCCGCGGCCGUGAGGCGCCCUCUGAUUGGCGGAGCGCGGGCUGCUCGCCGCGCGGGGCGCUCUCUGAUUGGAGGAGCGCGCCCCUUCCUUCCUCCCGCUCCUUGCAUCGGCAGCUCGGCGCUCGGCAGGCUCAGCCGCCGCCAUGGACCCCGCGCCCGGCCCGCAGGAGAAGUACCAGCUCAUCACGAGGAACCUGCAGGUACCGGGAGGCGGAUGGACGCGGGGCUGGGCCGCGGGGAGAGCGGCGGCACCGGGGAGGGGUGUCAGGGACCAGCGGGGCUGUGUCGGGGUCGGGCGGAGGAAUUGGGGCUGGGAGGGUUGGCUGAGGAUGGAUCGGGACCGCGACCGAGGCGGGGGCAGGAUGGAGUGCGGGUACCGGGGGGAUGCGGCGGGGUUGGGGUCCGAGAACGGGGNNNNNNNNNNUAAUUAUUAUUAACCAUCAUUAUAUAUUAUACAGAAUAUAUGAUCUAUGUUUUAUAUAGAAUAUACAUGUAUAUAUAAUAUACAUGUAUAUAUAUAUAAUAUAUAUACACAUA
This 1065-nucleotide long non-coding RNA is filed under the name Chloebia gouldiae (Gouldian finch). RNAcentral describes it as "Erythrura gouldiae (Gouldian finch) lncRNA (ENSEGOG00005007866.1)". Lineage: Eukaryota; Metazoa; Chordata; Aves; Passeriformes; Passeridae. The record is from RNAcentral.